This 334-nucleotide ribosomal RNA is filed under the name uncultured bacterium. Its description in RNAcentral is "bacterial SSU rRNA". It matches the Rfam family "Bacterial small subunit ribosomal RNA", at positions 466 to 793 of the family's 1533-position model. The record is from RNAcentral.
CGUUUGACGUUAGCUGCAGAAGAAGCACCGGCUAACUCCGUGCCAGCAGCCGCGGUAAUACGGAGGGUGCGAGCGUUAAUCGGAAUUACUGGGCGUAAAGCGCAUGCAGGUGGUUUGUUAAGUUCAGAUGUGAAAGACCCGGGGCGUCAACCUCGGAAUAGCAUUUGAAACUAGGCAGACUAGAGUACUGUAGAGGGGGGUAGGAAUUUCAGGUGUAGCGGUGAAAUGCGUAGAGAUCUGAAGGAAUACCGGUGGCGAAGGCGGCCCCCUCGGACAGAUACUGACACUCAGAUGCGAAAGCGUGGGGAGCAAACAGGAUUAGAUACCCUGGUAG